Molecule: ribosomal RNA, 301 nt
Filed under: uncultured bacterium
Lineage: Bacteria
Description: partial 16S ribosomal RNA
Rfam family: Bacterial small subunit ribosomal RNA
Source: RNAcentral
CAGUAGCCGCGGUAAGACGAACCGUGCGAACGUUAUUCGGAAUCACUGGGCUUAAAGCGCGUGUAGGCGGGAGGGCACGUCCGUCGCUGAAAUCCCCCGGCUCAACCGGGGAACGGGCGCGGAUACGACUCUUCUGGAGGAACGUAGGGGGACCUGGAACUUCCGGUGGAGCGGUGAAAUGCGUUGAGAUCGGAAGGAACGCCCGUGGCGAGAGCGAGGUCCUGGACGUUUACUGACGCUGAGACGCGAAAGCCAGGGGAGCGAACGGGAUUAGAGACCCGUGUAGUCCCUGUCUCUUAUA